Molecule: non-coding RNA, 29 nt
Filed under: Rattus norvegicus (Norway rat)
Lineage: Eukaryota; Metazoa; Chordata; Mammalia; Rodentia; Muridae
Source: RNAcentral
UGUGCAUCUCAUUAGGUCGUUGUCUCCAA